GACGAACGCUGGCGGCGUGGAUUAGGCAUGCAAGUCGGACGGUAUCAUCCUUUCGGGGGUGAGAGAGUGGCGAACUGGUGAGUAACACGUAGGUUAUCUACCCUCAAGACGGGGACAACCCAGGGAAACUUGGGCUAAUACCGGAUGUGAGCAACUUUUAGUUGUUUGAAAGGUGGCGUAAGCUGUCGCUUGGGGAUGAGCCUGCGUCCUAUUAGUUAGUUGGUGAGGUAACGGCUCACCUAGGCAAUGAUAGGUAGGCGGCCUUAACGGGUGGUCGCCCACACUGGGAUUGAGAUACGGCCCAGACUCCUACGGGAGGCAGCAGUCGAGAAUAGUCUACAAUGGUCGGAAGACUGAUAGUGCGACGCCGCGUGAACGAUGAAUCCCUUCGGGGUGUAAAGUUCUUUUAUAUGUGAGCAGUGCUUCUUAUAUUAACAGUAUGGGGAGAGAGAUAUUAGCAUAUGAAUAAGCAACGGCUAACUCCGUGCCAGCAGCCGCGGUAAACUCGU
This 509-nucleotide ribosomal RNA is filed under the name uncultured bacterium. RNAcentral's name for it is "bacterial SSU rRNA". It matches the Rfam family "Bacterial small subunit ribosomal RNA", at positions 28 to 528 of the family's 1533-position model. The record is from RNAcentral.